This 506-nucleotide ribosomal RNA is filed under the name uncultured bacterium. Its description in RNAcentral is "partial 16S ribosomal RNA". It matches the Rfam family "Bacterial small subunit ribosomal RNA", at positions 28 to 523 of the family's 1533-position model. The record is from RNAcentral.
GAUGAACGCUAGCUACAGGCUUAACACAUGCAAGUCGAGGGGUAACAAGAGAAAAGCUUGCUUUUCUUGUUGACGACCGGCGCACGGGUGAGUAACGCGUAUCCAACCUGCCUAUAACUAGGGAAUAACCUUGCGAAAGUAAGACUAAUACCCUAUGAUUUCCUUUGAUGACAUCAGAUGAGGAAUAAAGAUUUAUCGGUUAUAGAUGGGGAUGCGUCUGAUUAGCUUGUUGGCGGGGUAACGGCCCACCAAGGCAACGAGCAGUAGGGGUUCUGAGGGGAAGGGCCCCCACAUUGGAAAUGGGACACGGUCCAAACUCAUACGGGAGGCAGCAGUGAGGAAUAUUGGUCAAUGGGCGGAAGCCUGAACCAGCCAAGUAGCGUGCAGGAUGACGGCCCUAUGGGUUGUAAACUGCUUUUAUACAGGAAUAAAGUUAGCCACGUGUGGUUAUUUGUAGGUACUGUAUGAAUAAGGACCGGCUAAUUCCGUGCCAGCCGCCGCGGUAA